RNAcentral lists this transfer RNA (68 nucleotides) under Marmota monax (woodchuck). RNAcentral's name for it is "tRNA.Ala". The record is from RNAcentral. Lineage: Eukaryota; Metazoa; Chordata; Mammalia; Rodentia; Sciuridae.
GGACGUGGCUCAAGUGGUAGUGCAUUCGCCUAGCAUGCGUGAGGCACUGGAUUCGAUUCUCAGCACCA